This 1542-nucleotide ribosomal RNA is filed under the name Escherichia coli. RNAcentral's name for it is "bacterial SSU rRNA". It matches the Rfam family "Bacterial small subunit ribosomal RNA". The record is from RNAcentral. RNAcentral also lists the same sequence under 1 other name. Lineage: Bacteria; Pseudomonadati; Pseudomonadota; Gammaproteobacteria; Enterobacterales; Enterobacteriaceae.
AAAUUGAAGAGUUUGAUCAUGGCUCAGAUUGAACGCUGGCGGCAGGCCUAACACAUGCAAGUCGAACGGUAACAGAAAGCAGCUUGCUGCUUUGCUGACGAGUGGCGGACGGGUGAGUAAUGUCUGGGAAACUGCCUGAUGGAGGGGGAUAACUACUGGAAACGGUAGCUAAUACCGCAUAAUGUCGCAAGACCAAAGAGGGGGACCUUCGGGCCUCUUGCCAUCGGAUGUGCCCAGAUGGGAUUAGCUAGUAGGUGGGGUAACGGCUCACCUAGGCGACGAUCCCUAGCUGGUCUGAGAGGAUGACCAGCCACACUGGAACUGAGACACGGUCCAGACUCCUACGGGAGGCAGCAGUGGGGAAUAUUGCACAAUGGGCGCAAGCCUGAUGCAGCCAUGCCGCGUGUAUGAAGAAGGCCUUCGGGUUGUAAAGUACUUUCAGCGGGGAGGAAGGGAGUAAAGUUAAUACCUUUGCUCAUUGACGUUACCCGCAGAAGAAGCACCGGCUAACUCCGUGCCAGCAGCCGCGGUAAUACGGAGGGUGCAAGCGUUAAUCGGAAUUACUGGGCGUAAAGCGCACGCAGGCGGUUUGUUAAGUCAGAUGUGAAAUCCCCGGGCUCAACCUGGGAACUGCAUCUGAUACUGGCAAGCUUGAGUCUCGUAGAGGGGGGUAGAAUUCCAGGUGUAGCGGUGAAAUGCGUAGAGAUCUGGAGGAAUACCGGUGGCGAAGGCGGCCCCCUGGACGAAGACUGACGCUCAGGUGCGAAAGCGUGGGGAGCAAACAGGAUUAGAUACCCUGGUAGUCCACGCCGUAAACGAUGUCGACUUGGAGGUUGUGCCCUUGAGGCGUGGCUUCCGGAGCUAACGCGUUAAGUCGACCGCCUGGGGAGUACGGCCGCAAGGUUAAAACUCAAAUGAAUUGACGGGGGCCCGCACAAGCGGUGGAGCAUGUGGUUUAAUUCGAUGCAACGCGAAGAACCUUACCUGGUCUUGACAUCCACGGAAGUUUUCAGAGAUGAGAAUGUGCCUUCGGGAACCGUGAGACAGGUGCUGCAUGGCUGUCGUCAGCUCGUGUUGUGAAAUGUUGGGUUAAGUCCCGCAACGAGCGCAACCCUUAUCCUUUGUUGCCAGCGGUCCGGCCGGGAACUCAAAGGAGACUGCCAGUGAUAAACUGGAGGAAGGUGGGGAUGACGUCAAGUCAUCAUGGCCCUUACGACCAGGGCUACACACGUGCUACAAUGGCGCAUACAAAGAGAAGCGACCUCGCGAGAGCAAGCGGACCUCAUAAAGUGCGUCGUAGUCCGGAUUGGAGUCUGCAACUCGACUCCAUGAAGUCGGAAUCGCUAGUAAUCGUGGAUCAGAAUGCCACGGUGAAUACGUUCCCGGGCCUUGUACACACCGCCCGUCACACCAUGGGAGUGGGUUGCAAAAGAAGUAGGUAGCUUAACCUUCGGGAGGGCGCUUACCACUUUGUGAUUCAUGACUGGGGUGAAGUCGUAACAAGGUAACCGUAGGGGAACCUGCGGUUGGAUCACCUCCUUA